GUAACCGCAUGUAAUAGGUUGCAGUCAAAAUACAGUUUCCUAGGAUGAUCUUUGGAACCAUAGCUCUCAUCAGUGUGCCUGAGUUUGGUUGUGAGGGAGUCAGACAAGAACAUCAAUGGGUUUGAGGUGUUAAAUUCUUGAAGCUCUCCCAUUGCCUGAUCUCCCAUAAUCACGUUUAUACCUUGGAAGUCUCCCUUUGGGAUCAGCAUGUAGGAUGGAUUUAAGCGAAUUGGACUGGAGAGACUGCAGCCAUUGUAGAAGUACAGAUAUGGGACUCUUCAACAUCUUGAAGUUCAAUAUUCUUCAUCAUGAACUUUUCCUGACUAAAUGCUGACUUGCAAAAACCCCUUUCCUCUUGCUAAUUUGUAAUUCUACAAUUCUUCCAUUGAGUGCAACUCUCUAUGUUCAACCUGAUUCAUUUCCAUUUUUUUCCAUGGUUUUCUUUUAACCUGGGAUAUAAAAACUCUAAUUUCUGUGUUGUGUUAGAUGUGUAGUCAAUACAAAUUAGGGAAUACAGGGCAAUUAUUUGAACUAUAUUAGUUUAAAACAAGUGGUUGAGAAUUUUUUUUCCUCUUCAUCCAGUGGAAAAAAAUGAAAAAACUUGGUCAACAAACAAACCAAUUGAUUGGAUAUGAUGAAGUUAGUGCAAUAGUUUACUGGG
RNAcentral lists this long non-coding RNA (661 nucleotides) under Rhinopithecus bieti (black snub-nosed monkey). RNAcentral describes it as "lncRNA (ENSRBIG00000045376.1)". Lineage: Eukaryota; Metazoa; Chordata; Mammalia; Primates; Cercopithecidae. The record is from RNAcentral.